RNAcentral lists this ribosomal RNA (878 nucleotides) under uncultured bacterium. RNAcentral describes it as "bacterial SSU rRNA". It matches the Rfam family "Bacterial small subunit ribosomal RNA", at positions 28 to 896 of the family's 1533-position model. The record is from RNAcentral.
AUUGAACGCUGGCGGAAUGCUUUACACAUGCAAGUCGAACGGCAGCACAGAGAGCUUGCUCUCUGGUGGCGAGUGGCGAACGGGUGAGUAAUAUAUCGGAACGUGUCCAAUAAUGGGGGAUAACGAGUCGAAAGAUUCGCUAAUACCGCAUACGCCCUACGGGGGAAAGCAGGGGAUCGUAAGACCUUGCGUUAAUGGAGCGGCCGAUAUCUGAUUAGCUUGUUGGUGAGGUAAAGGCUCACCAAGGCGACGAUCAGUAGCUGGUUUGAGAGAACGACCAGCCACACUGGAACUGAGACACGGUCCAGACUCCUACGGGAGGCAGCAGUGGGGAAUUUUGGACAAUGGGGGCAACCCUGAUCCAGCCAUUCCGCGUGAGUGAAGAAGGCCUUCGGGUUGUAAAGCUCUUUCGCAAGGGAAGAAAACUUAUGAUCGAAUAAAUCAUGAGGUUGACGGUACCUUGAUAAGAAGCACCGGCUAACUACGUGCCAGCAGCCGCGGUAAUACGUAGGGUGCGAGCGUUAAUCGGAAUUACUGGGCGUAAAGCGUGCGCAGGCGGUUUUGUAAGUCGGAUGUGAAAUCCCCGGGCUCAACCUGAGAACUGCGUUCGAAACUGCAAGGCUAGAGUGUGUCAGAGGGGGGUAGAAUUCCACGUGUAGCAGUGAAAUGCGUAGAGAUGUGGAGGAAUACCAAUGGCGAAGGCAGCCCCCUGGGAUAACACUGACGCUCAUGCACGAAAGCGUGGGGAGCAAACAGGAUUAGAUACCCUGGUAGUCCACGCCCUAAACGAUGUCAACUAGUUGUUGGUAGAGUAAAAUCUAUGAGUAACGUAGCUAACGCGUGAAGUUGACCGCCUGGGGAGUACGGUCGCAAGAUUA